AAUCUGGCAACCUGAGGCUGAGCGUGCGCCAGCGCCAGACACGUGGUGGAGGAGUGAGGAUGUGACGUGAGAAAAGGAAUGCGGGAAGAAGGCGACACACGAACGCGGGCAAUGACUCAAAUGGGUCUGACCGCGAGGUUUUUGCCCUGCCACGGUGUAGCUGAGUUAUCCGGAGUACCAGGUUAUCGAGUGCUGAAUUUUUGGGACUCUACUGUAAUAAUAAUAGACAAUGAAAUAUUGAAUCCUUUAAAAUGGUAUAAUUUCCAGAUUUGUUCCCAGUCCUCAAAGUCUAAAAUCAUUCAGAAUUGAACCUGGAUCCCCAAGGUAGUAAGUAAUUUUUAAUAAACAAAAAGAGAAUUUUUAGUCAGUAUGUUAUAAAAAUAGCCAAGUUCAGAAUAUUG
Molecule: long non-coding RNA, 401 nt
Filed under: Androctonus crassicauda
Lineage: Eukaryota; Metazoa; Arthropoda; Arachnida; Scorpiones; Buthidae
Source: RNAcentral